Molecule: transfer RNA, 84 nt
Filed under: bacterium
Lineage: Bacteria
Description: tRNA-Leu
Rfam family: tRNA
About the family: Transfer RNA (tRNA) molecules are approximately 80 nucleotides in length. Their secondary structure includes four short double-helical elements and three loops (D, anti-codon, and T loops). Further hydrogen bonds mediate the characteristic L-shaped molecular structure. tRNAs have two regions of fundamental functional importance: the anti-codon, which is responsible for specific mRNA codon recognition, and the 3' end, to which the tRNAs corresponding amino acid is attached (by aminoacyl-tRNA synthetases). tRNAs cope with the degeneracy of the genetic code in two manners: having more than one tRNA (with a specific anti-codon) for a particular amino acid; and 'wobble' base-pairing, i.e. permitting non-standard base-pairing at the 3rd anti-codon position.
Source: RNAcentral
GCUGGUAUGCCCGAGAGGUCCAAGGGACUACACUUAAGAUGUAGCGUGUUAAAUCACUCGUGGGUUCGAACCCCACUGCCAGCA